RNAcentral lists this transfer RNA (73 nucleotides) under Ictidomys tridecemlineatus (thirteen-lined ground squirrel). Its description in RNAcentral is "Spermophilus tridecemlineatus (thirteen-lined ground squirrel) tRNA". It matches the Rfam family "tRNA". From Rfam's summary of the family: Transfer RNA (tRNA) molecules are approximately 80 nucleotides in length. Their secondary structure includes four short double-helical elements and three loops (D, anti-codon, and T loops). Further hydrogen bonds mediate the characteristic L-shaped molecular structure. tRNAs have two regions of fundamental functional importance: the anti-codon, which is responsible for specific mRNA codon recognition, and the 3' end, to which the tRNAs corresponding amino acid is attached (by aminoacyl-tRNA synthetases). tRNAs cope with the degeneracy of the genetic code in two manners: having more than one tRNA (with a specific anti-codon) for a particular amino acid; and 'wobble' base-pairing, i.e. permitting non-standard base-pairing at the 3rd anti-codon position. Lineage: Eukaryota; Metazoa; Chordata; Mammalia; Rodentia; Sciuridae. The record is from Rfam by way of RNAcentral.
GGGGACAUAGCUCAGUUGGUAGAGUGCUUGCUCAGUAUGCACAAGGCCCUGGGUUCAAUCCCCAGCAUCAUCU